Molecule: ribosomal RNA, 119 nt
Filed under: Pteropus alecto (black flying fox)
Lineage: Eukaryota; Metazoa; Chordata; Mammalia; Chiroptera; Pteropodidae
Also listed under: 1 other name
Source: RNAcentral
GUCUACGGCCAUGCCACCCUGAACAAGCCCGAUCUCGUCUGAUCUCAGAAGCUAAACAGGGUUGGGCCUGGUUAGUACUUGGAUGGGAGACCACCUAGGAAGACCAGGUGCUGUAGGCA